RNAcentral lists this unclassified non-coding RNA (326 nucleotides) under soil metagenome. Its description in RNAcentral is "partial contains 5.8S ribosomal RNA, internal transcribed spacer 2, and large subunit ribosomal RNA". The stretch from base 1 to 120 matches the Rfam family "5.8S ribosomal RNA", at positions 35 to 154 of the family's 154-position model. The record is from RNAcentral.
GAUGAAGAACGCAGCGAAAUGCGAUACGUAAUGUGAAUUGCAGAAUUCAGUGAAUCAUCGAAUCUUUGAACGCACAUUGCGCCCCUUGGUAUUCCGAGGGGCAUGCCUGUUCGAGCGUCAUAUUAACCACUCCCGCUUGCGGGGUCUUGGGCUUCGCCUCCGGGCGGGCCUUAAAAUCAGUGGCGGUGCCGUCGGGCUCUACGCGUAGUAAAUUUUCUCGCGAUAGGGUCCCGGUGGAUGCUUGCCAACAACCCCCAACUUCUUAAGGUUGACCUCGGAUCAGGUAGGGAUACCCGCUGAACUUAAGCAUAUCAAUAAGCGGAGGA